AGCGCAGGCGGGAAGACAAGUUGGAAGUGAAAUCUAUGGGCUCAACCCAUAAACUGCUUUCAAAACUGUUUUUCUUGAGUAGUGCAGAGGUAGGUGGAAUUCCCGGUGUAGCGGUGGAAUGCGUAGAUAUCGGGAGGAACACCAGUGGCGAAGGCGGCCUACUGGGCACCAACUGACGCUGAGGCUUGAAAGUGUGGGUAGCAAACA
Molecule: ribosomal RNA, 207 nt
Filed under: uncultured bacterium
Lineage: Bacteria
Description: partial 16S ribosomal RNA
Rfam family: Bacterial small subunit ribosomal RNA
Source: RNAcentral